Molecule: long non-coding RNA, 1294 nt
Organism: Aedes aegypti (yellow fever mosquito)
Lineage: Eukaryota; Metazoa; Arthropoda; Insecta; Diptera; Culicidae
Exons: 2
Source: RefSeq, a predicted model, not a curated record
GGUACGAUAGGAGUUACGUCACAUGUUCACAAUCAAACUUGAUGUUUACAUCAGUAAAGAGCCUGCCUUGUUAAUGUGGUGUAUGCUUCCCUUAAAACGAUAGGUUGCAAUUGCAACAUCGAAUAUUAGUUGUACACACAAACAUAUGUACUAUUGUUGAGCUUUUUGUGAGUCCGAAUAAAGGAAGCUGCGAGCAUCGGCUCGACCUCUUUUACUGUUAACUUACAUACGAGUAACAUCUAGUUCCCUUAUUUAUACCAUCCGACAAUUGAUCUUAGUUAAAAUACUUUCUUUAAUAACUUAAAUAACGGAUAUAAAAGUGGCGACGAGGAUUAAUCAACAAGCCGCGGGCAGACUUGAUCAACUCCAAGGAUCUACCGACAGAUAAAGUGCUUUGUUUUACUCUUUAGCAAGGACAGUGGUUAUAGAAUCAGGAAUAACUGUUUGUAUUUUGACCUUUUGAACAAUUUAGGACAGUAAACUAAUUUUGUUUGUCGCCGAUUGGUGUAAUGAAAUAGAAGUGAUUUAAUUGAGAACUUGACAAGGUGUGGAUUUGCACCAACCUAAAAACGCGGAGUGAAAACCAAUUGGUUGAUUGGAUGUGCGUUUGCAUUGAUAAUUAUUAUGGCUAUUGUUGUUGUUCUGUAGGUAAUGUGCACGAAUUGUUGCGAGGGUUUGUGUAAGAAGGAUAGCUAUUGCGGCUCAAUGGCCAUUGUGACGAUUGGAUGCAUGCAUAGUGCCAUAUUCGACGAUUUCAACAGUUAUCUAAUUAUCGGACUGAUAGACCUCCAACAAGCGAUGGACUUAGAAGAAUUGUGGCGGAAUAGUCCGAACCUGAUGUGUGUGCCUCGAUUCAGAUGUUGGCUAGGAAAACGAAUGGCAGUCGUGAUGAAGACGUUGAUGCAGAAUUGUGCACGGAAUUGCCAACGGGCAAAGAAAGACGGAGGCAUUCGGAAGAGUGUUGUGUUCAUACCGAUAAUAGAUUAUUCUUUAAGAAAAUUGAGUAACAAAAUUGUUAGGUUUAGGAUAUUGAAAUUGUCCUGUCUGAUAGAAAGAUGUUUGAUUUCUGUUUAGAAUUUUUUAUUAUUUUCAUUUUACUAUCGAUUGAGAGUCAUAUUAACAAAAUUCCUAAGAGGGAAGAACUGUGGUGUAUGCUUCCCUUAAAACGAUAGGUUGCAAUUGCAACAUCGAAUAUUAGUUGUACACACAAACAUAUGUACUAUUGUUGAGCUUUUUGUGAGUCCGAAUAAAAGAAGCUGCGAGCAGAGGCUCGACCUCUUUUACUGUUAACUUA